Molecule: long non-coding RNA, 1501 nt
Organism: Dromaius novaehollandiae (emu)
Lineage: Eukaryota; Metazoa; Chordata; Aves; Casuariiformes; Dromaiidae
Exons: 4
Source: RefSeq, a predicted model, not a curated record
CAGCUCGGCGCUGCUGGGGUGGCCCGGCCUCGCCGCGGGCACAGGCGGAGCCGGAGCCGUUUGUUCCCCGCGAGAGCCUCGUGGCCGCCGAAAGCAGCCUUCCCUCACAGCCCUGAGGGGUUAAAACAGCCGAAACCUCCCAAACCCCAAGCGAAAUGCGCUUUUUGCCACUGAGAAAAUAACCGAGGCCUUCCCGGGGCCGCAGGAAGCGCGGCCCCGGCUGCCCGCCCUGCAGGCUGCGAGGACGCUCCCUCCCUCUCGCCUCGCUCUGCGGCCUGCGCGGGCGGUGGCUCCUGCAGAGGUAGCGUCCAAAGCCCGGACUGACCUCGCGUCCCAGUGAAAGUCUCGCAGAAACCCGGUGUCUGCCUGCGAGCCUGCUGCCGCGGAAGUGUGGUUACCUGACGUCUGCAGGCAAAUGAGAAAUGGAUGCACGUUGGAUUGCCUACUUCUGCUUGUCAGCCGCGCCAGAGUAUUCUAAUUAACUUUCAUUGAAAGGGUGCGGAAAGGUCGCGCUAUGAUAGCUGGCUCCUGCUCUCAGGGAAGAUACUGUAAAAGCUCCUGCUUGCUCCAGUGGUGGAGGACAGAUUUCUGUGAAAAAGAAUGUCAGAUAAUUCAUACAGUAAUUAAACUGAAGAAAGAAAUAUGAGGAAUAACAAAUGAACUUAGUCAACUGCUAUGGUUUAUAUUAUUACUACUUCAUCUGUGUCUCUAAAUUAUCAGAAUUGUUCCAGAGCAAUCUCUCAACGUGUUGGUACUACACAAAGCAUUUCAUUCCUUGUGCUUCCACGGAAAAGAGGGAUAAAAUUAUGGACAGUAAAAGACAUGGAAAAUGAAGAACUCAGGCAAAGGCUUAGGAUAUUCCUCAUUCUGUAACAGUAAACAGUGAAUGGAUGAAUAUGGUAUAAAGCUCAAAUACUACAAAAAUGGCAAACGUGAUGCUGCAAGAACUACCUGACCUUCAACUGUGACUGAAAUCCAUUAAAACUGUGACUAGCCAGUACCAAGAAAGUAAAAUUCUUAUACUGUAAUUCAAAGAUAUAUGAAAAACAUGAACCUUCUAGGCAAAUACAACAAUGGCUGAAUCCCUCUUUGCUUGGAUCUAGCUUUUACUUCUGGCCUUGUUUCAAAAAUCUCAGAUAAAUUAUAUAAAGCUUUUGGAUCAUCAGUUAUUGUAAGUCAGAUGCAUGGAAUUCUACCUUAAUUCAAACUGUGUUUAUAUUAGAUCUUUAUCUCUUCCACUUUAGCUUUGCCUCCAGUCUAUUAGGGUUUUUGAACAUAACAUAAGCAAUGACACUCUUUAAUUAUAGAAAUCUGUAUUCAUGUAAAUAGAACAGUCAUCACCUUUUUUUUCAGUACCAUGUAAUGCUAAUAUAAGAUUUACAAUAGGUCUCCAGGAAUGAAAUUUUUAAAAGUCAUUAUAUACAGACUUGGAAGCUGAAUUUGCCAUGGUAACUGUCAUAGCUAUCAUAUGUAUUUCUGUAAGAAGAAACAACAAGGCCAA